Molecule: non-coding RNA, 4531 nt
Organism: Oryctolagus cuniculus (rabbit)
Lineage: Eukaryota; Metazoa; Chordata; Mammalia; Lagomorpha; Leporidae
Source: RefSeq, a predicted model, not a curated record
CUCGCCCCUGUCUCCUUUCAGAUUAUCCCUGGACAGCACCGAGGCAGAGCUGCGCUCCCUGUUCGUCAGGACGCGGUCGCUCCAGGAAAACAUGCAGCGGGACGCGGAGCUGGGCCAGCAGAUGGAAGACUUCCUUCAGUUUGCCGUGGAAAAGCUGACAGAACUGGAGCACUGGAAACAAGAGCUGCAGGACGAGGCCCACACUCUCAUAGACUUCUUUUGAGAAGACAAAGAAACCAUGAAACUGGACGAAUGCUUGCAGAUAUUCAGAGACUUCUGUGUCAAGUUCAACAAAGCAGUUCAGUUCCAGAAGUCAGCGCCUGAGAUGGAGGAGUUGGCAGGGCCAUGGCUCCGGGCCUCUCCCAGCUCCUGGUGGCUCCACGCGCUCUUGGCAGGUGGCCACAUCACGCGAAUCCCGUUGCUUCUUUCACGCGAGGACACUUGCGAUGGCACUGAGGGCCUAUUGGGAUUUGCCAGGGGACUCUCAUCUGCAGGAAGCUUUCUCCAAAUAAGGUAACAUGCACUUGGCACAGGAAUAAGGACGCUGUAUCUUGAACCGUCAGUACUUUGAAAAAAAAAAAAAAAAAAAACAGGUUCAAUCCUUAUUUCUUGGGGAAGAAGAGCAGGUGCCCCGACCUUAAUGCAAGGUGUAGAAGCAUCCUUUGGUCUCUGGCGGGCAGAGGUGACCAGUUAGCUACUCAGUAACUCAUGACAGAGCCCCAGCCCGAAGGCUACAUCUCUCUGCCACCCUUACAUCUUGUCGUGGAUGUCCAAUUAAGUUGGUUACAGAUAUGCGUGAGAAUUCAGUGGGUGGAAUUUCCUGGAAAGUUCCCACAAAAGGAAGCAGGUAACUGGGCUUUCCCCUCAUUGCCCCUUUCCCGUUCUCUUCUUCCUGCCUGGAACACAAAUGUGAUGGCUAGAGCUCUAGCAGCCAUCUUGACCCAUGAUGUAACUAUAAAGCUAGAAGCAGGUACUACAAAGAAAGAGCUAGGCCCCUGAUGGGCUGUUAGGCUGCAUAUCCUUGUACUUAAGUGAGAGAACCCCUCACCCAGUUAAACCAUGUUAGUUCUUGCUGGUAGCAGUUCAUCUCAGUUUUCAAUUGAUAAAAUUCUAAUACUUUAUUCCCUGUCCUUUGCUGGUUGGCUCUGGGCAUGCCUUGACCUAUAGGUUUCUCUGAUUGACCACCUCCCCGCCCCUCCAUCAGGUUGCCCUGGUGACUGUCCCUCGUGGCUUUCAUACCAGCAGUCGACGUAGCUACUUGCAUGUUGUGCGUCUCUCUUGCUGCGGGAUGCCGGGACCAGACCUGUCUUGCCGUGCACUGUUGCAGGGAGAGCGCUCAGCAUGCGGUGAGAGUUUGAUCCGCCCGUGUGGCCUGGAUGAGUCUGAAAGGGAGUCAAGACGGGACCCUGGGAGCAGGUGUUUCAAAGGGGAAAUCAAGAGGCCUGGUGAAAACCCAUCAGGGCCUGAGCACACCCACUGGACGCCCCACUGCCUGAGUCGGACAUGAGUGCACAGCAAUGCCCAAACCCGUCCCACAUGGCCUCCACCUGCACCCCCUCAAACCCCCAGAGCCUUUGCGUGAGGCUCUGGCUUGGUCCCCUGUGAAAAUCGUCGCUGAGAGUCUCCGGGCUGGCGGCGUUCACGGAUUGAGCCCCCGGCAUCUCCAGCAGCAGGAGGCUUUUUUUUUUUUUUUAAGAUUUUAUUUAUUUAUUUGACAGGCAGAGUUAUAGACAGUGAGAGGAAGAGACAGAAAGAAAGGUCUUCCUUCUGUUGGUUCACUCCUCAAAUGGCCGCAAAGGCCAGAGCUGCGCCAAUCCGAAGCCAGGAGCCAGGAGCCAGGAGCUUCUUCCAAGUCUCCCAUGUGGGUACAGGAGCCCAAGCACUUGGGCCAUCUUCCACUACUUUCCCAGGCCGGAGCAGAGAGCUGGAAUGGAAGAGGAGCAACUGGGACUAGAACCCCGCACCCAUAUGGGAUGCCGGCACCUCAGGUGGAGGAUUAACUUAGUGUGCCACAGCGCCGGCCCCAGCAGGAGCCUUUCUCUCCCCAGAUCAUUGGCAGAAAAAGCAGUCCUUUGUCUCGGCUGCCUGGCCCCUGUCUCCCUCCCCCAGGGAGCCUUCCCGGAUGGCUUUGGUUGACCUGGGUUCUGUCUGUUCCUGUUUUCAUGCCUCUCAUUUUGAUACGUCAUUUUUUUCUCUACUUGCUUGCUCAGUCAACUAAAAACUCCUUCUUUAGGGAGUGGAUAUUUAACCUAGUGGCGUAAAUGCUCAUGUCCCGUAUUGUAGUAGCUGGGUCUGAAUCCUGGGUCCAGCUUCUGAAUCCAGCUCCCAGGAGUGUCUUAGCCCCUGUGGCCAAACACCUGCCCCAAACGGCCAUUUUGACUUUGCCACCUGGUCUCAAAUCCAAACAACCACAGAACAGAUAGAACCAGAACCCCUUCCUCUCCUUGACUUGUGUGCCCGCUCCUCCCUCGUGUCACAGGGCCAGCAAGACGUGGCCUGUCCCCCGCACGGCUCACCAGCGGGGCACCACCUCCGCCUGUGACUGCCACUACACACGACAGCCUUGGGCACAGCUGGAUGGCGAGGGCCAACUCACUCAGCACACAUGGACCGUGCUGGGGGCUGAGUGCAUCUCCCUGGAACAUGACAUGGGGCGAGUGGCCCAGCAGCUCUAGCAUUCCGUUCCUUAGAAUGCUAGCCCAAGCAGGCCAGCCGUGGGGUGACCUUGGCCGAGCAGGUUCGGGUUCCCUGAGUGGACGCACGGUGUGCAUGUUGGGGGGAUUUGUCUGUUUUUCAUCCCAGCCUGGCUUCUUCCUGCCACCCAGAUGCUCCGAGCCUGCUCCUACCCUUCAUGCUGCCAUGUGCUCGGGAAAUACUGAUUUGACUGAUUUGAGCGAAACAUCAUCAGGAGGGAAAAACCUCUUAGAGGAAGGCAACCAUAAACAGUGACACAGUGCAGCCCAAGUCAUCCGCGGCUUUACCCGGCUGUGUGCAGCCUUUGGUGGGCAUCUGGGAGUGGUGCUUCACGGUUCUAGGGCUCUGGGUACGCCUGCAUUGUUUUGAGGGCACAUACCCGGCCACUGCAUUGCACCAGCCUGGGGACUCUGAGCCACGGGGGACCACCGCGUCUCGGCGCUGGGUUUGUUCUGUGGACCUCGCUCCUCCCCCACUCACAGGGCAGUGUGGCGGCUCUUUCUGAGGGAACCAUAGGGCUCUUUGGGACCAGCAAUGUGAUGCUACGGGCCCACGGGAGUAAAGACACCAACAGCACAGACGGAGCCGCCAGACCCCCAGCCAGGUCCACCCAGCGCCCAUCUAGCCAGCAACUGGUGAUCCUCCCAUCUGAAGGUUCCAGAAGGCUCCCGCUGCUUCUACCACUAACUGCCCCCUUCCCUCCGACUGCCUGUUAUGGGUUGCAUUGCGCCUUCACCGUGCCCUGAAAAAAAGACCUGUUGACGUCCUCAGCCUCAAAAUGUGACCUUGGUGGGAAAGGGAGUCACUGCAGUCGUAAUUACUUACUGAGAAGUCACACUGAGAAGAGUGGACCCUCAGUCCAAUGUGACUGUGUCCUCAUGAGAGGACAGCCAUGCUGGGGGGGGGGGCGCAUUUGAGGCCACUAGGACUCCACUUGGGAAGCCUGCACCCCAUACAGGGGAACCUGGGUUUAAGUCCUGACUCCCCUCCUGAUUCCAGCCUCCUGCUGAGGCACCCCCUGAGGGCAGCAGGUGAUGGAUCAAGUACUUAGGGCCUUGCCCUGUGUGUGAGAGUCCUGGAUUGAGUUCUUAGCUCCUGGCUUCCACCUGGCCCAGCCCUGGCUAUUGUGGGCAUUUGAGAAGUGAACCAGUGGAUGAGAAGUCUCUCUCUCUCUCUCUCUCUCUCUCUCUCUCUCUCCCCCACUCUCUCCUGCUACUCUCCUUCUCUCUCUUUCUGCCUUUUGAAUAAAUACAUAGAAAUUUAAAUGAGAAAAAGGAGGUGGCCAUGUGAAGGUACAGGCACACAGGGAGAACACCCCGUGAGAGCAAAGGCAGAGACCAGAAUGAGAGUUGCAAGCCCUGUGCGAGUGUCAGAGGUAGCGCAACUCUGCUGAUGCCUCCAUGCCAGGCUCCUGGGCUCUGGAACUGUGAGCCAAUCAAUUCAGUUCCCAUUGUUGGAAGCCAGCACUGUGGUGCAGUGGGUAAAGCCACUGCCUGCAGUGCCGGCAUCCCAUACGGGUGCUGGUUCGAGUCCCGGCUGUUCCACUUCCAAUUCAGCUGUCUUUCACGGCCUGGGAAAAGAGUAGAAGAUGGCCCAAGUCCUUGGGCCCCUGCACCCAGCUCCUGGCUUCCAAUCAGCAUAGCUCUGGCAGUGCAGCCAAUUGGGGAAUGAACCAGCAGAUGGAAGACCUCUCUCUCUCUCUCUGCCUCUCUGUAACUCUGCUUUUCAAAUAAAUAAAUAAAUCUUUAAAAAAGUUCCUACUGUUUUAUUCCACCUGGUGUGUGAGAUUUGGUUACAGCAGCCACAGGAAGCUAAUAACAACAGUACCUCAGAAAGU